Molecule: ribosomal RNA, 373 nt
Filed under: uncultured organism
Description: partial 16S ribosomal RNA
Rfam family: Bacterial small subunit ribosomal RNA
Source: RNAcentral
GUAGGUGGCAAGCGUUGUCCGGAAUUAUUGGGCGUAAAGCGCGCGCAGGCGGUCCUUUAAGUCUGAUGUGAAAGCCCACGGCUCAACCGUGGAGGGUCAUUGGAAACUGGGGGACUUGAGUACAGAAGAGGAAAGCGGAAUUCCAAGUGUAGCGGUGAAAUGCGUAGGGAUUUGGAGGAACACCAGUGGCGAAGGCGGCUUUCUGGUCUGUAACUGACGCUGAGGCGCGAAAGCGUGGGGAGCAAACAGGAUUAGAUACCCUGGUAGUCCACGCCGUAAACGAUGAGUGCUAAGUGUUAGGGGGUUUCCCGCCCCCUUAGUGCUGCAGCUAACGCAUUAAGCACUCCGCCUGGGGAGUACGGCCGCAAGGCUG